Molecule: long non-coding RNA, 220 nt
Filed under: Mytilus galloprovincialis (Mediterranean mussel)
Lineage: Eukaryota; Metazoa; Mollusca; Bivalvia; Mytilida; Mytilidae
Source: RNAcentral
GAAGGGUGUGUCACUUCAAUAUAGCGUGAUAUAGAUUGGCCUCUGGAAUAUGCAUGAAUUUUUUAUUGACGUUUUCAAUCAGCCUUAAUUUUUGUGUCUGUUCGAAGUAGUACGUUCUCAAUUCCGACUGAAAGUGUCUUUCUAAUACAACACAGGGUACAUAUAACGUGUUCUCGUUCACAUAUGAACAUGAUAUUUGUCACUGGACGUUAAACCCUAA